CGGGCGAUGUGUCAGAGGCUCAACCAGAAGGACAACUUCUAGGGGGCGAGGGCGGGGCGCAGGCGGGCGGGCCUGAGAGCCGCGCGGCUUCUCCGGGCUGAGUGCCCGGCGCCCGGGGAGGCGCGUGGCACGCCCGCUGGGCUCUUAGUCGCGGCGCUGGCGCGGGGCCUACUAAGGGCUGUCAGAGUAGGUUUGGGCCACUUUUUGGUCCUGUUCGCCACACUUGUCCCCGAGGUAAACUCUUUACCAGCGGGAAGGCGAAAGCUUGGUUGAAUUGAGCGCCUGUGGCUUGCCCAGUAGGCCUGGAAGGGAGUUCGUAGACAGCGUUGACUCAUAUGAGAUUUCCAGACCCCCUAGAAACGCCAGAAAUAUGGUCCCAGGAAGGUCCCAGGAAGACAAUGGGUGACCCUCCAGUUGAGCACGCUAAAUCCUCGUCUGAGAUUCCAACUCAAGUUAAAGGCUUUGAUGUGAGAUGUGGGCACUCACCUUGCAGAGUGAACCACAAGUUAAUUCAAGGUGCCUUCCAUGGAAUGGAGAAAUUUGUUCUUGCUUUCACCUUCAUGAUAAUGCACUCCUUUGGCAGUUGUUGGAGAAAGAAUUGAGAUUCUGCCACUUGCAACAAAAAAUUCUAAUAAAGUGUCUUCCUCAUCAGUGGAGAUAAUAUAUGAGAAAACUUCAAAUCUAUGCUGGGCUGUUACGUAUGCAUGGUCCUAAUAUAGACUUUUAUUAAACAACUUGAGAUUUAAUUGACAUACAAUAAACUACACAUAUUUAAAGU
Molecule: long non-coding RNA, 778 nt
Organism: Pipistrellus kuhlii (Kuhl's pipistrelle)
Lineage: Eukaryota; Metazoa; Chordata; Mammalia; Chiroptera; Vespertilionidae
Exons: 3
Source: RefSeq, a predicted model, not a curated record